UCUCCUGGGAAACGGGUGGUAAUGCCGGAUGUUCCACAUGAUCGCAUGUGAUUGUGGGAAAGAUUCUAUCGGCGUGGGAUGGGGUCGCGUCCUAUCAGCUUGUUGGUGAGGUAACGGCUCACCAAGGCUUCGACGGGUAGCCGGCCUGAGAGGGCGACCGGCCACAUUGGGACUGAGAUACGGCCCAGACUCCUACGGGAGGCAGCAGUGGGGAAUAUUGCACAAUGGGCGCAAGCCUGAUGCAGCGACGCCGCGUGAGGGAUGGAGGCCUUCGGGUUGUAAACCUCUUUUGUUUGGGAGCAAGCCUUCGGGUGAGUGUACCUUUCGAAUAAGCGCCGGCUAACUACGUGCCAGCAGCCGCGGUAAUACGUAGGGCGCAAGCGUUAUCCGGAUUUAUUGGGCGUAAAGGGCUCGUAGGCGGCUCGUCGCGUCCGGUGUGAAAGUCCAUCGCUUAACGGUGGAUCUGCGCCGGGUACGGGCGGGCUGGAGUGCGGUAGGGGAGACUGGAAUUCCCGGUGUAACGGUGGAAUGUGUAGAUAUCGGGAAGAACACCA
This 554-nucleotide ribosomal RNA is filed under the name Bifidobacterium bifidum. RNAcentral describes it as "bacterial SSU rRNA". It matches the Rfam family "Bacterial small subunit ribosomal RNA", at positions 146 to 711 of the family's 1533-position model. Lineage: Bacteria; Bacillati; Actinomycetota; Actinomycetes; Bifidobacteriales; Bifidobacteriaceae. The record is from RNAcentral.